UGGGGAAUCUUGCGCAAUGGGCGAAAGCCUGACGCAGCGACACCGCGUGGGGGACGAAGGCCUUUCAGGUCGUAAACCCCUUUCGGCAGGGACGAAGCGACACCGUGACGGUACCUGCAGAAGAAGCCUCGGCUAACUACGUGCCAGCAGCCGCGGUAACACGUAGGAGGCGAGCGUUGUCCGGAAUCAUUGGGCGUAAAGAGCGCGCAGGCGGCUUGGCAAGUCGGGUGUGAAAUCCCGGGGCUCAACCCCGUGACUGCAUUCGAUACUGUCAGGCUAGAGGUAGGUAGGGGAGAUCGGAAUUCCUGGUGUAGCGGUGAAAUGCGCAGAUAUCAGGAGGAACACCGGUGGCGAAGGCGGAUCUCUGGGCCUUACCUGACGCUCAGGCGCGAAAGCUAGGGGAGCGAACA
This 410-nucleotide ribosomal RNA is filed under the name uncultured bacterium. Its description in RNAcentral is "bacterial SSU rRNA". It matches the Rfam family "Bacterial small subunit ribosomal RNA", at positions 355 to 774 of the family's 1533-position model. The record is from RNAcentral.